GAUGAACGCUGGCGGCGUGCCUAACACAUGCAAGUCGAACGAGCGAGAGAGAGCUUGCUUUCUCAAGCGAGUGGCGAACGGGUGAGUAACGCGUGAGGAACCUGCCUCAAAGAGGGGGACAACAGUUGGAAACGACUGCUAAUACCGCAUAAGCCCACAGCUCGGCAUCGAGCAGAGGGAAAAGGAGUGAUCCGCUUUGAGAUGGCCUCGCGUCCGAUUAGUUUGUUGGCGGGGUAACGGCCCACCAAGACUACGAUGGAUAGGGGUUCUGAGAGGAAGGUCCCCCACAUUGGAACUGAGACACGGUCCAA
Molecule: ribosomal RNA, 311 nt
Filed under: uncultured bacterium
Lineage: Bacteria
Description: bacterial SSU rRNA
Rfam family: Bacterial small subunit ribosomal RNA
Source: RNAcentral